Molecule: long non-coding RNA, 203 nt
Organism: Lolium rigidum
Lineage: Eukaryota; Viridiplantae; Streptophyta; Magnoliopsida; Poales; Poaceae
Exons: 3
Source: RefSeq, a predicted model, not a curated record
CUCAAAAGUGUUGAAUGUGUUCGUCUACUAACAUUACAUCAUAAUGCCUUCCCUGUUGACACCAAUGUUGGCCGGAUAUGUGUAAGGCUGGGAUGGGUGCCCAUUCAACCUCUUCCUGAAUCUCUACAAUUACAUCUCCUCGAGCUAGAGGGCUAAAGAGUUGGAUAAGAUGGGCCGGUCUAUUUGUAUUCCAGUAAAGGCUG